This 1210-nucleotide ribosomal RNA is filed under the name Solanum tuberosum (potato). Its description in RNAcentral is "rRNA LSU_rRNA_eukarya". It matches the Rfam family "Eukaryotic large subunit ribosomal RNA", at positions 665 to 1888 of the family's 3401-position model. Lineage: Eukaryota; Viridiplantae; Streptophyta; Magnoliopsida; Solanales; Solanaceae. The record is from Rfam by way of RNAcentral.
ACCAAGGAGUCUGACAUGUGUCCAAGUCAACGGGCUAGUAAAUUCGUAAGGCUUAAGGAAUCUGAUUGGUGGGAUCCCCCUAAGGGGUGCACCGCCGACCGACCUUGAUCUUCUGAGAAGGGUUCGAGUGUGAGCAUACAUGUUGGGACCUGAAAGAUGCUGAACUAUGCCUGAGCGAGGUGAAGCCAAAACAUACUCUGGUGGAGGCCCGUAGCGAUACUGACGUGCAAAUCGUUCAUCUGACUUGGAUAUAGGGGCGAAAGACUAAUCGAACCGUCUAGUAGCUAGUUCCCUUCGAAGUCUCCCUCAGAAUAGUUGGAGCUCGCGUGUGAGUUCUAUUGGGUAAAGACAAUGAUUAUAGGAUUCGUGAGCGCAACAGCCUUGACCUAUUCUCAAACUUUAAAUCAGUAGGACGGCGGGACUGCUUUGUCGAGCUGCACCACGAAAUCAGAAGCUCAAAGUGGACCAUUUUUGGUAAGUUGAACUGGCUCUGCGGGAUGAACGGAAAGCUGGCUUAUGGUGCCAAACUGCACUCUAACCAAGAUCCAACAAAGGGUGUUGGUCGAUUAAGACAGCAGGAAGGUGCUCAUGGAAGUCGAAAUCCGCUAAGGAGUGUGUACCAAUUCAGCAGCCAAGUAAACUAACCCCGAAAAUGGAUGGCGCUUGAGCGCGUGACCUACACCCAGCCGUCAGGGAAAGUGCCAGACCCCGAUGAGUUGGAGGGAAUAGCGAUCGCUGUAAAACCUUGGGCAUGAACCUGGGCGGAGCAGCCGUUAAUGCAGAUCUUGGUGGUAGUAGCAAAUAUUCAAAUGAGAACUUUGAAGGGUGAAAAGGGGAAAGGUUCAAUGUGAAUGGCACUAGCACAUGGGUUAGUCGAUCCUAUGGGUCGAGGGAACCCCGACAGAUAAUGCAUUUCGUGCGUACCCCGAAAGGGAACCGGGUUAAGAUUCCGGAAUCGGGACGUGGCGGUUGACGACAACGAUUGGAAGUCGGUGGAAGCCUCGGGAAGAGUUGCCUUUUCUGUUUCACAUCAUGCCCACCAUGGAAUCGGCUCUGCCGGAGGUAGGGUCCAACGGCUGGAAGAGCACCACACGUCACGUGGUGUCCGGUGCUCUCCCGACGAUCCUUGAAAAUCCAGAGGACCGAAUGUUGUCCACGGUUGGUCGUACUCAUAACCGCAUCAGGUCUGCAAGGUGAACAACCUCUAGUU